This 388-nucleotide ribosomal RNA is filed under the name uncultured bacterium. RNAcentral's name for it is "bacterial SSU rRNA". It matches the Rfam family "Bacterial small subunit ribosomal RNA", at positions 64 to 482 of the family's 1533-position model. The record is from RNAcentral.
CAAUUAUUUAUAGCCUCUGGCUAUAGGAAAUUGUUAGUGGCAGACGGGUGAGUAAUGCGUAGGAAUCUACCUAGUAGUACGGAAUAGCCAUUAGAAAUGGUGGGUAAUACUGUAUAAUCACCGAGGGGGAAAGAUUUAUCGCUAUUAGAUGAGCCUACGUUAGAUUAGCUAGUUGGUGAGGUAAUGGCUUACCAAGGCUAUGAUCUAUAGCUGGUCUGAGAGGACGAUCAGCCACACUGGAACUGAGAUGCGGUCCAGACUCCUACGGGAGGCAGCAGUGGGGAAUAUUGGACAAUGGGCGAAAGCCUGAUCCAGCUAUGCCGCGUGAGUGAGGAAGGCCUUUGGGUUGUAAAACUCUUUCAAUAGGGAAGAUAAUGACGGUACCUAU